CGGCCCCUUGGAGAAGCCACUCCACCUCCCCUUCCGUGGGCGGCGGGAGGCGGUAGCCCUCCUCCCCCGGGAGGUAGCUUCCCCCUAAGGCCGCCC
Molecule: transfer RNA, 96 nt
Filed under: Thermus thermophilus
Lineage: Bacteria; Thermotogati; Deinococcota; Deinococci; Thermales; Thermaceae
Also listed under: 1 other name
Description: tRNA-Gly(tcc)
Source: RNAcentral